Molecule: ribosomal RNA, 371 nt
Filed under: uncultured bacterium
Lineage: Bacteria
Description: bacterial SSU rRNA
Rfam family: Bacterial small subunit ribosomal RNA
Source: RNAcentral
ACAGGGGUGGCAAGCGUUACUCGGAAUUAUUGGGUGUAAAGGGCAGGUAGGUGGCUCUAUAAGUGAGGGGUGAAAUCCUGCGGUUCAAUCGCAGAACAGCCUUUCAAACUGUGGAGCUUGGGUGUGACAGAGGAAGAUGGAAUUCCUGGUGUAAGGGUGAAAUCUGUAGAUAUCAGGAAGAACACCAACGGCGAAGGCAAUCUUCUGGGUCACUACUGACACUGAGCUGCGAAAGCUAGGGGAGCAAACAGAAUUAGAUACUCUGGUAGUCCUAGCCGUAAACGAUGAAUACUAGGUGUUGGUCCCUUCGGGGAUCAGCGCCGAAGCUAACGCAUUAAGUAUUCCACCUGGGGACUACGGUCGCAAGGCUA